UACGUAGGGACCAAGCGUUGUUCGGAUUUACUGGGCGUAAAGGGCGCGUAGGCGGCGUGACAAGUCAGUUGUGAAAUCUCCGAGCUUAACUCGGAACGGUCAACUGAUACUGUUGUGCUAGAGUACAGAAGGGGCAAUCGGAAUUCUUGGUGUAGCGGUGAAAUGCGUAGAUAUCAAGAGGAACACCUGAGGUGAAGACGGGUUGCUGGGCUGAUACUGACGCUGAGGCGCGAAAGCUAGGGUAGCAAACGGG
Molecule: ribosomal RNA, 253 nt
Filed under: uncultured bacterium
Lineage: Bacteria
Description: partial 16S ribosomal RNA
Rfam family: Bacterial small subunit ribosomal RNA
Source: RNAcentral